Long non-coding RNA from Thunnus maccoyii (southern bluefin tuna), 2283 nucleotides. RefSeq lists it as uncharacterized. NCBI's taxonomy places the organism in Eukaryota, Metazoa, Chordata, Actinopteri, Scombriformes, Scombridae. The transcript has 3 exons. The record is from RefSeq and is a predicted model, not a curated record.
GUAAUUGUCCUUGUAGUUGGCGGCUGCGGCGGCAGGGAUGUUAAAAUGUACGGUAUCUCUCGUAUAUAUGGCCGGUUAGCUCAGUUGGUUAGAGCGUGGUGCUAAUAACGCCAAGGUCGCGGGUUCGAUCCCCGUACGGGCCAACGUUAUUAUAUUAGCAGUUGUGUCUCUGAGGAUAUAACCUGGCAUUUAUCCACCAAAAGUUUGGCGGUACACUCUCUGGCUACUCCUGUCGAACUGAUGAGCAGGACUCUAAUUAUAGGUGAAGAAUUUUGACUCAUUCAUCACUAAGUGAAAGAUACUGACGAGUCAUCUGGACCGUCUUCAGAUUUGGGGGGGGGUGUAUGAACCCCGUAACUUCACUUCAAGGAAAGGACUUCUGAAGCUAAGCUAGCUGUAGCAGGUCUUCAGGAAGCUGUUCCAGAGACGGGACCAUCAUAAUAAAAGGAUGCCUCACUAGGCCAGUAGGGUACUAGAGGCUUUAUAGGCUAAAAGCAGAUCUGAUAAACAGGUAGGACCAAGUCCAUUAAGAGCUUUAUAAACCAAUAAAAGGAUCUUAAAAUCAAUUCUGAAGCAAACAGGUAGCCGGUGCAGAGACUUCAAAAUUGGUGUAAUGUGUGUUUUCUCUCUGGUCCCAGUCAACACAUGUGCAGCUAUGUUUGAAGUAAUUGUAAUUGAGCUAUAUUCUUUUUAGGGAGAGCAUUACAAUAGUCAAUCCUGCAGGUAAUAAAGGCGUGCAUUAGUGUCUCUGUGUUGGCUUAAGAGAGAAAGGGGUGCACACUGGCAAUGUUCUUGAGAUAAUAAAAUGCAUUCUUAGUUAUGUUUCUAUUGUGAGGUUCAAAACUAAGAUCUGAAUCAAAGAUAACUGGGUUUUCUACUUGUUGACAGGGGUUUAAUGCCAGUGCUUGCAGUUUCGUAUUGAGUUUGUCUCUCUGAGCUUCAGUAUCAGUAACCAAGACUUUAGUUUUGUCCUGGUUUUGCUGUAGAAAAUCUGUCAUCCAUAACUUGAUAUCUAAAACACAUUUAAACAUGUCUUAAUGGAUGUCUUUGAAGCAAUCAAAAAGGGAAAUGAGCUAAUCUGAAAAAGCUGAGUUUGUAUCUUGCAUGUGGAUACUAAAUCAGUCUCUAUAUUGCAGGUUUGAUGCUCUUUAAAACCCUGUUAUAUCAUGAAUACUGAGUAACUUGAUGCGUUUGGAUAACCAACACAGUUUUACAGGUUCAUACGAGACAUAAAAUCUGUCAAGGCAAUGUUGUGAACCAGCUGGAAGAAUGCUUUGAAGUGAGGACAAAAGGUCAAACUAUAUUUCCAGAAUAGUCUCUUUGCAUUUUUACUGCUGUGGGUCCAGCAGCAAGGUUUGAACAUGUUGGUUUAAUGAGGAAGGAGAGUAAGGAUUCAAACUUUUUUUUUACAGUGAUCGUUUCUGUUGGACCCAUGCAUUUAUGGCCUGUAUAAUUUAGCCUGAAAGUAAAGUGCCCCACAGAGACAAACAGCAGUGACUGGUUGCUUUUUUAAAGGUUAAAGGCCAUGACUUCGUUUAGAGUUCAACUAUAAAAAUGCUAACACUGAGCUGUAUCAACAAUACUUCUGUGGUCCAAAAGGCUGUUUUUUUUUUUCAGUUUCACUGGUCACUUAUUUACUGCUGUUUGUACCAUAUAAUGCCAAGAAUAGUUUGGCUGUUCAACACAAGUGUUCUGUAUUAAAUUACAGCAUUGUUACAAAAAUAGUUGUCAGCACUUAAGUCAGUCUUGCCUUUGUUGAGGUUCUCAUAGCUCCAUACAAAUGGCCACCAUGUUGUAUAAGUCUUUGUCAUUCACAUGUUCCCAGUCCAAACUGCUUGCUUUGAAGUGGCUGAGAUCACUGUUUUUGAUUAUUUGUACAAUCCUCUUAUUUUGUGUCUGUUAUAGUCUCUAGACAGAUAACAGAUUUUCUCGAAAUAAUUAACAUAUAUGCAGAAUAAACUUAAAAGAAAAAAGAAGGACUAUUGGACAGGAAGUGAGUUUUUUUGGGGUAUAUUUUAAUUAAAAAAAGAAAACUCAUGAGAGCUUAACUGAGUCAAUGUCUUAGUGUCAUUUGCACAGAUGUUCACAAAGAGCCAAGGGCUCUUGUUGGUGAGGUCACUUUUUCCAGGGGUCAAAGGUGACCUCUGCCUCGCAUCAUAGCACAUGCCACUUACGUGAUGUUAUAGAGGAAUGAGUUGGUAUACAAACACAGUUCUGCUUAAAGAAACCAUACCAUUGCACUGGGUGACAUGAAGAGUUUUGGUCAUGAUACUUUGUUUAAAA